AUAUCUGAAACCGGCCCUACGGGGCGCAGCAGGCGCGAAAACUUUACAAUGCGGGCAACCGUGAUAAGGGAACCUCGAGUGCCUGUAUAUGCAGGCUGUCCAGGUGUCUAAAACACACCUGAAGAAAGGGCCGGGCAAGACCGGUGCCAGCCGCCGCGGUAAUACCGGCGGCUCGAGUGGUGGCCGCUUUUAUUGGGCUUAAAGCGUUCGUAGCUGGGUCGUUAAGUCUCUUGGGAAAUCCGGCAGCUCAACUGUCGGGCGUCUAAGAGAUACUGGCGAUCUUGGAACCGGGAGAGGUGAGGGGUACUUCGGGGGUAGGAGUGAAAUCCUGUAAUCCUCGAGGGACCACCUGUGGCGAAGGCGCCUCACCAGAACGGCUUCGACAGUGAGGGACGAAAGCUGGGGGAGCAAACCGGAUUAGAUACCCGGGUAGUCCCAGCCGUAAACAAUGCGCGUUAGGUGA
Molecule: ribosomal RNA, 463 nt
Filed under: Methanoculleus sp. enrichment culture clone CIBANICRA-43
Lineage: Archaea; Methanobacteriati; Methanobacteriota; Methanomicrobia; Methanomicrobiales; Methanomicrobiaceae
Description: bacterial SSU rRNA
Rfam family: Archaeal small subunit ribosomal RNA
Source: RNAcentral